This is a long non-coding RNA of Fundulus heteroclitus (mummichog), 304 nucleotides long. RefSeq lists it as uncharacterized. The transcript has 3 exons. The record is from RefSeq and is a predicted model, not a curated record. NCBI's taxonomy places the organism in Eukaryota, Metazoa, Chordata, Actinopteri, Cyprinodontiformes, Fundulidae.
UCCUCUGGUCUCAUCUGCAGUAGGAGAGAACUUCAGCAGAGAAUGGAGCUGAUCACAGGCAAUGAGGAGAUAGUAGAAGCCCUGCAACAAGUAGGCAGACUUCUGCAGAGGAACAGGAUGUGUCAGAAAAGCGGGCUGAGCAGGCAGCUCUGCACAGAGAACAAAGGAGUGUUUUGGAGGAGCGGAGAACGGCUGCGUCACAAAGGCUCCAAAGUCUUGUUGCUCAAAUCCAGGAGGCCAAGGAGCUGAAGUCUGGUGAGGGUGGAGCACAACCUUCAAAGCGUGCCCCUAAAAGAAGACCAAG